This 308-nucleotide unclassified non-coding RNA is filed under the name plant metagenome. RNAcentral describes it as "partial contains 5.8S ribosomal RNA, internal transcribed spacer 2, and large subunit ribosomal RNA". The stretch from base 1 to 105 matches the Rfam family "5.8S ribosomal RNA", at positions 50 to 154 of the family's 154-position model. The record is from RNAcentral.
GAAAUGCGAUAAGUAGUGUGAAUUGCAGAAUUCAGUGAAUCAUCGAAUCUUUGAACGCACAUUGCGCCCUUUGGUAUUCCAAAGGGCAUGCCUGUUCGAGCGUCAUUUGUACCCUCAAGCUUUGCUUGGUGUUGGGCGUCUUGUCUCUAGCUUUGCUGGAGACUCGCCUUAAAGUAAUUGGCAGCCGGCCUACUGGUUUCGGAGCGCAGCACAAGUUGCACUCUCUAUCAGCAAAGGUCUAGCAUCCAUUAAGCCUUUUUUUCAACUUUUGACCUCGGAUCAGGUAGGGAUACCCGCUGAACUUAAGC